Molecule: long non-coding RNA, 1106 nt
Filed under: Solanum tuberosum (potato)
Lineage: Eukaryota; Viridiplantae; Streptophyta; Magnoliopsida; Solanales; Solanaceae
Description: long non-coding RNA (STUB_LNC004107)
Source: RNAcentral
CCAUGGAAUCAGAUUCUGCUAGCAAAAUCUCAAAGGCAUCAGUUAGCCUUAAUUUGAAUGAUCAAACGAACUCAAGAAGAAGAAAGCAGCCCAAGUGGUUCAUUACUUUAAUCAUCUUUUUCAUUCUCAUCAUCGUCGCCGUUAUCUCUGUUUUAACAAUGAUUAAGCGAGAUUACGAAUCUGAAUUACCUGCCAAUAACCCAGAAAAGGCAAUCCAAUUCAUUUGCUCGCCGACUACACACUACCAGACAUGCUUUAAGUACAUGUCUAAUUCCCUCUACAAAAAUAAAAAAUUAGGAUCAACAAAAAUCAACUCAUCUCAAGUAUUCUCCAUCUCACUUCAUACCGUAAUCGGCGAGCUCCAGAAAGUCAGUUACUCACUCAAAUCGUCCGAUUCCUCUACUGAUCAGUCAACUGUAAGUCACUGCAACUAUCUGUAUUUCAACAAAUCACUGAGUCAAUUGAACAGUUAUUUGGCGAUCGAUGAAGAGAAAAACAUGACUAUGAGAUCUGAAAUGCUUGAUUGGCUCCAAACUGAAAGGCCCAAAAUUGCGAGAUGUUUGUAUUCGUUGGAGUUAGACAAGGGAUUGGACACAGAAAACGCGAACAAUUGCUUAAUGAUUCUGGUGAAUAUGAACAGCAUCUCUGAGAUGCUUAAUCCAUCGAUUAACUUUUUCACUUUAGAUCCAUUUCGAAGCUCGGGGAGAAGUACCGUCACUUUACUUUUCUCGGAUAGAGAAUUCGUGGAUACAGUUUGUAUUUUUGGCGUGCAGUUUAUUUUCUUGCUGUUUUUGGUUUGUAUUCUUUUACGUGUUUGGUAAUAAAUAAGCUGAUUACUCAAUUUUGAUGUACUAUGUGUUAUAGUUACUCUUUGUAUUCUCUAUUGAAUUCAGUAGUUUUAAUAUUUACUAUCUUCUCAUAGGAUUAUCAUACAAUUUAGAACAGAUGAAAUAAUCAAAUUUAAAUUUUAUCUAUAUUAUUUUAUCCAAAUUGGUUUUUGGUCUGUCGGCAAAUUAAAUUAAAUACUCGUAAAAUGAAAAAAAGAGUAGAACGUGCUAACAGUUAACAUUACCCAAAUUCUUAUCAACUCUUCAAACCGUGUCGUC